GACGAACGCUGGCGGCGUGCUUAACACAUGCAAGUCGAACGGAAAGGCCCUGCUUUUGUGGGGUGCUCGAUUGGCGAACGGGUGUGUAACACGUGAGUAACCUGCCCUUGACUUUGUGAUAUCUUCUGGUAACUUGGGCUAAUACCGGAUAUGAUCUCCUGCUGCAUGGUGUUGGUUGGUAAGUUUCGGCGGUUGGGGAUGGACUCGCGGCUUAUCAGCUUGUUUGUGGGGUAGUUGCUUACCAAGGCUUUGACGGGUAGCCGGCAUGAGAGGGUGAACAGGGAAAAUGGGACGGAGAGAGGGACCAGACUGGAACGGGAGGCAGCAGUGGGGAAUAUUGCACAAUGGGAGGAAGCCUGAUGCAGAAACGCGGCGUGCGGGAAGACGGGAUACGGGUUGAAAAAAGAAGUGGCAUGAGACGAAGAGUGAGUGACGGUAAUGGGUAAAGAAGCACCGGCUAACUACGUG
RNAcentral lists this ribosomal RNA (468 nucleotides) under uncultured bacterium. Its description in RNAcentral is "partial 16S ribosomal RNA". It matches the Rfam family "Bacterial small subunit ribosomal RNA", at positions 28 to 507 of the family's 1533-position model. The record is from RNAcentral.